UCAGACUUUGACAGUCCCAGCCGCCUUUCC
This 30-nucleotide non-coding RNA is filed under the name Mus musculus (house mouse). The record is from RNAcentral. Lineage: Eukaryota; Metazoa; Chordata; Mammalia; Rodentia; Muridae.